GACGAACGCUGGCGGCGUGCUUAACACAUGCAAGUCGAACGGAAAGGCCCUGCUUUUGUGGGGCGCUCGAGUGGCGAACGGGUGAGUAACACGUGAGUAACCUGCCCUUGACUUUGGGAUAACUUCAGGAAACUGGGGCUAAUACCGGAUAGGAGCUCCUGCUGCAUGGUGGGGGUUGGAAAGUUUCGGCGGUUGGGGAUGGACUCGCGGCUUAUCAGCUUGUUGGUGGGGUAGUGGCUUACCAAGGCUUUGACGGGUAGCCGGCCUGAGAGGGUGACCGGCCACAUUGUGACUGAGAUACGGCCCAGACUCCUACGGGAGGCAGCAGUGGGGAAUAUUGCACAAUGGGCGGAAGCCUGAUGCAGCAACGCCGCGUGCGGGAUGACGGCCUUCGGGUUGUAAACCGCUUUCGCCUGUGACGAAGCGUGAGUGACGGUAAUGGGUAAAGAAGCACCGGCUAACUACGUG
RNAcentral lists this ribosomal RNA (468 nucleotides) under uncultured bacterium. RNAcentral's name for it is "partial 16S ribosomal RNA". It matches the Rfam family "Bacterial small subunit ribosomal RNA", at positions 28 to 507 of the family's 1533-position model. The record is from RNAcentral.